GGGUGACUGAUUGUACCCGCCAGCUGCCUAAUAUCAUAAUUAACGAAGUUGUUACUACGUCUGCAAAGUUUAAUCAAAAAUUUUACCAGGGAUAUGAUGGCAUUGCCACAAAGAUCACAAGGGACGUGGAGUCGACUUCUGCUCAAGGUGAAGUGGCGAGGCUGUGUAGCCAAGAUGAGAAACUGCAAACUUGGUCAGCCAAA
This 203-nucleotide long non-coding RNA is filed under the name Nannospalax galili (Upper Galilee mountains blind mole rat). Its description in RNAcentral is "Rhabdomyosarcoma 2 associated transcript conserved region 6 (ENSNGAG00000003971.1)". It matches the Rfam family "Rhabdomyosarcoma 2 associated transcript conserved region 6". Lineage: Eukaryota; Metazoa; Chordata; Mammalia; Rodentia; Spalacidae. The record is from RNAcentral.